AGGACCGCAGCUUUGCCACCACAUACCCGGCCAAAAAGCCUUUGAGGAAGGGAGAACUGAGAAAACUUCCACCCUAAAUGAGGAAGAGAGACAAAGAGAGUGGAGUUUGUUGGUGCUGUUGGGACAUUUCAGACUGGAAUGUGUCUGAGUUAACCUCAGGGGGCUUUCCGGAAGACACCAUGCUGGGGAAGGAUUACAUGCUCGCCAUCAUCAUCGUCAACUAUGAUGAUAACAUCUGGAAUGAUCAGACACUGGAGCUGGACUCAGAUCUGCCUCCAGGAUGGCGAACUAUACGGGACAGCACUGGCACCUAUUAUUGGCACGUGCCCACAGGCACCACGCAGUGGCAACAUCCCUCCUACAGCGCAGAGGAGGAACAAAACACCGUUAACAGCCUCACAGCCAACCAGUUUAAGAGUGCUGCAGAUGGCAGGUGGGAAUCGAGAGGCAGGACUGAAAACCCACUGGCGUCUCUCAGUGAAAGGCCCUCCUGGCAGGAAGAGUAUUUCUGUGCUAACAUGGAUCCUGGCUCCAAGUGUUUUGCCGUGCGUUCCCUGGGUUGGGUCGAGAUCCCUGAAGAAGAGCUGACUCCUGGCAAGAGCAGUCUAGCUGUGAACAACUGCAUCCAGCAGCUCUCUCACAGUAAAGCCGAGGGCCGGGAUGCCGUUGGUGCCUGGGGAGAGGGUCAAGAUAUGAUGAUGGUGCUGAAGAAGGACACACUCAGUUUAAUGGACCCUGUGGAUCGCAGUCUCAUCCAUUGCCAGCCAAUAAUCAACAUUCGUGUUUGGGGGGUCGGCUGCAACAAUGGAAGGGACUUUGCCUUUGUGGCCAGUGAUAAAGACACCUGCAUGCUUAAGUGCCAUGUGUUUCGUUGCAAUGCUCCAGCCAAGACAAUAGCAUCUGCACUGCAUGAGAUGUGCUCCAAGAUCAUGGCAGAGAAGGCAGUGCUGAAGCCCUCAAUAGCCCGUUCUCUCACCAUGGAGAGCAUCUCCCCGGAGGACUUACCCCGGCAAGUGGACUUUCUGGAAGCAGUGAGGCAGAGGGUGCAGAAGUUUGAAGUGCAGUACAUUGGAAACCUGCCUGUCUCCAGAGCAAUGGGAAUGGAAGUUUUGAACCGUGCUAUUGAGAGCAUCAUGCACUCCAGAGACAGAGAUGAGUGGGAGCCCAUUGUCAUCCAUGUCUCUGAUACAAUUUUGUCAUUAUGGAGAGGAGAGGAUGGAGAUGACCCAUUUUGGGAGUGUCAGGUACGUUACCUGACGUUCCUGGGUGUGGGUCAUGACACGCACACUUUUGCAGUCAUAGUGGAUGCUGGAACCCAGCGCUUUGAGUGCCACGUGUUCUGGUGUGAGCCCGAUGCUGGGAUCAUCUCUGAAGCUGUUCAGGCCGCGUGCAUGGUUCAAUACCAGAAGUGCUUGGUUGCCCAGACUCCUCCUGUGAGGUCCAAAAUGUGGAGGGCAGGGUCCAAAGUCAAACGGGCCAACUCCAUUGACGGCUCCAGCUUCCCACCCAGGCACCAAGGACACACAUCUUCCAAACUGGCCUCUCCCAGCAUCAAGAAGGGCAUGCUGGCAUUUUUCGAAACGUUUCGUAAUAAACAUUCUGCUGUACAAACACCCUAGCAAGGGGGAGGCGGGUGGGUCCUGACAGGUUUUGAAGAAGGGGGGUAUCAGGAGAUACAAAACGGAAUACAAACAUUAUCAGUAAAGACUCGCCAGCAUUUCAUUUUAAAUCCAGGCUUUCCCUCAUAUUGGCCUUAAUAAAAUGACAUAAUUGACAUUUCUGAAUGUUGGUGUGCAGAACAGCGUGUACAUGAGAACAUUGAGGUGCUGUGCUCUCACAUUCCAAACAUUUACAAAUGUUCUGCUGGUGUAAUGUUAAUUUGAUCCAUUUUGAAAGAAACGAUAUAGCAUGGAUGAGUAAACUCUCAUCUGAACCCCCAAAACAGCAAAAGAAACAUUUUGAGCCUAAAGAGCAUGUUGUGCAAUAAAAGUCUUGCAUUUGCAAUGUAUGAUUUUAUUUAAUAACAAAGAUUGAUGUACAAAUGUAGGAAUAAUGUGCAAAAGUGAAAUAGAUCAAUUUAGCCUCGACAUGGUAGAAAGAUAAUCUUUGCUGUUCUUCUUAUCCAACGAUGCACAAAAGUUCAUUCUUUCCUUAUCAGUAAAGUAUAUGACAUUGACUGGCGUGUCUACUCCAUUUUGAACCGAGCAAUGUUCAAACACAACAAAGAGACCUCAAAUAACACAGUCCAACAGUGGAAAAUCAUUUCUGCAGAGAUCAAACCUGCUAGUGUCUCUCACAUUGUGAUCCUAUUGUAUGCUUAGAAAUGCAAAUAAAAAAAAGACAUUCGUGAGCCCUCGUAUAGAGACAAGCAUUGCUUGUUAUAAUCCUUCUGGUUUGUGGAGUUCUCAAUUUAGUGCCACUGUUGCAUGAUAUUGCACAUGCUUAAAAAAACAAGACGUAGCUUGGGUACCGAGAACACAGGUAGAGGGAUUUAGAGCCGAGUAUGUACUUUGAUAUUUUUAAACAGUAAGAUAGUGAGAAUAUACCGAAGGAACUGCAAGAAAACCUUGACCCCUUUUAACUCGCGUUCGGCUGAAAGCACCUGACCUCAGCGCAUGUUGAUCUGAGAUGCCGGCGGGCGAUUACUCAACCACACGAAUGCCACUGAAGGAAGUCACAUAAUGCUAUCUAACAUAUGCAACCUUCCCUUAAAAAAAAUAACAUGUAUCAUAUCACAAAAGAUCUCAGGUCUCCUUAAUGCUAAAACAGUGGGGCAUAGGAAUGGACGAGUCUUCAGCAUGUAAGAUCAAAAGCUUUGUGAAGAUAAACAAAGAGUUGUUAUGUAGCAUCUUGUGUUUCUUAUGUUUUUCCUAUUUAUAAGAAAUCUCUUUAUCUAUAUUUGCAGUAUUUCGACAGAAAUCUAGGAUGUAAUGUAAAUGGUUUUGUAUUAUAAUUUGUGUUUGUUAUUGAUUGUUAUUAUUAUUCAGACUGACAUUGUCAGUAUUGGGACAUUAAACUGCUCGAAUCUCUCUCUGUGUC
RNA transcript from Paramisgurnus dabryanus, 3039 nucleotides. It is a transcript of the gene named amyloid beta (A4) precursor protein-binding, family B, member 3, with no coding region annotated. NCBI's taxonomy places the organism in Eukaryota, Metazoa, Chordata, Actinopteri, Cypriniformes, Cobitidae. The record is from RefSeq and is a predicted model, not a curated record.